UACGGAGGAUGCGAGCGUUAUCCGGAUUUAUUGGGUUUAAAGGGUGCGUAGGCGGCUUUUUAAGUCAGCGGUGAAAUUUUGCAGCUUAACUGUAACAGUGCCGUUGAUACUGUUUGGCUAGGAUUUGGUUGUAGUGUGCGGAAUGUGUGGUGUAGCGGUGAAAUGCAUAGAUAUUACUCAGAACACCAAUUGCGAAGGCAGCUUACUAAACUGAUAUUGACGCUGAGGCACGAAAGCGUGGGGAGCGAACAGGAUUAGAUACCCCU
This 266-nucleotide ribosomal RNA is filed under the name uncultured prokaryote. RNAcentral describes it as "partial 16S ribosomal RNA". It matches the Rfam family "Bacterial small subunit ribosomal RNA", at positions 524 to 788 of the family's 1533-position model. The record is from RNAcentral.